UUAUACAGCGAAACUGCGAAUGGCUCAUUAAAUCAGUUAUCGUUUAUUUGAUAGUACCUUACUACAUGGAUAACCGUGGUAAUUCUAGAGCUAAUACAUGCUAAAAAGCCCGACUUCGGAAGGGUUGUAUUUAUUAGAUUAAAAACCAAUGCCCUUCGGGGCUCCCUGGUGAUUCAUAAUAACUUCUCGAAUCGCACGGCCUUGCGCCGGCGAUGGUUCAUUCAAAUUUCUGCCCUAUCAACUUUCGAUGGCUGGGUCUUGGCCAGCCAUGGUAGCAACGGGUAACGGAGGGUUAGGGCUCGACCCCGGAGAAGGAGCCUGAGAAACGGCUACUACAUCCAAGGAAGGCAGCAGGCGCGCAAAUUACCCAAUCCCGAUACGGGGAGGUAGUGACAAUAAAUACUGAUACAGGGCUCUUUUGGGUCUUGUAAUUGGAAUGAGUACAAUUUAAAUCCCUUAACGAGGAACAAUUGGAGGGCAAGUCUGGUGCCAGCAGCCGCGGUAAUUCCAGCUCCAAUAGCGUAUAUUAAAGUUGUUGAGGUUAAAAAGCUCGUAGUUGAACCUUGGGCCCAGCCGGCCGGUCCGCCUCACCGCGUGCACUGGCUCGGCCGGGCCUUUCCUUCUGGAGAACCGCAUGCCCUUCACUGGGCGUGCUGGGGAACCAGGACUUUUACUCUGAACAAAUUAGAUCGCUUAAAGAAGGCCUAUGCUCGAAUACAUUAGCAUGGAAUAAUAGAAUAGGACGUGUGGUUCUAUUUUGUUGGUUUCUAGGACCGCCGUAAUGAUUAAUAGGGACAGUCGGGGGCAUCAGUAUUCAAUUGUCAGAGGUGAAAUUCUUGGAUUUAUUGAAGACUAACUACUGCGAAAGCAUUUGCCAAGGAUGUUUUCAUUAAUCAGGAACGAAAGUUAGGGGAUCGAAGACGAUCAGAUACCGUCGUAGUCUUAACCAUAAACUAUGCCGAUUAGGGAUCGGACGGUGUUAUUUUUUGACCCGUUCGGCACCUUACGAUAAAUCAAAAUGUUUGGGCUC
Molecule: ribosomal RNA, 1030 nt
Filed under: Immersiella caudata
Lineage: Eukaryota; Fungi; Ascomycota; Sordariomycetes; Sordariales; Lasiosphaeriaceae
Description: SSU rRNA
Rfam family: Eukaryotic small subunit ribosomal RNA
Source: RNAcentral